Hibiscus syriacus is the source of this 125-nucleotide long non-coding RNA. RefSeq lists it as uncharacterized. Lineage: Eukaryota; Viridiplantae; Streptophyta; Magnoliopsida; Malvales; Malvaceae. The record is from RefSeq and is a predicted model, not a curated record. The transcript has 3 exons.
AGAUCAUUAUACGGGCUCAAGCAAUCACCAAGAGCUUGGUUUGAGAAAUUUACCAAGGUAAUAAAGAAUCAUGGCUAUUCUCAAUGUCAAUCAGAUCACACCUUGUUUAUUAAAGUAACCUAAAG